RNAcentral lists this ribosomal RNA (253 nucleotides) under uncultured bacterium. RNAcentral describes it as "partial 16S ribosomal RNA". It matches the Rfam family "Bacterial small subunit ribosomal RNA", at positions 524 to 776 of the family's 1533-position model. The record is from RNAcentral.
UACGUAGGGUGCAAGCGUUGUCCGGAAUUAUUGGGCGUAAAGAGCUCGUAGGCGGCCUGUCGCGUCGGCUGUGAAAUCCCGAGGCUCAACCUCGGGUCUGCAGUCGAUACGGGCAAACUUGAGUGUUGCAGGGGAGACUGGAAUUCCUGGUGUAGCGGUGAAAUGCGCAGAUAUCAGGAGGAACACCGGUGGCGAAGGCGGGUCUCUGGGCAACAACUGACGCUGAGGAGCGAAAGCGUGGGGAGCGAACAGG